RNAcentral lists this ribosomal RNA (127 nucleotides) under Brevibacillus laterosporus. RNAcentral's name for it is "partial 23S ribosomal RNA". It matches the Rfam family "Bacterial large subunit ribosomal RNA", at positions 2799 to 2925 of the family's 2925-position model. The record is from RNAcentral. Lineage: Bacteria; Bacillati; Bacillota; Bacilli; Caryophanales; Paenibacillaceae.
UCAAGAUGAGACUUCCCAUAGCGCAAGCUAGUAAGACCCCUCAUAGACGAUGAGGUUGAUAGGUUCGGUGUGGAAGUGCAGUAAUGCAUGGAGCUGACGAAUACUAAUCGGUCGAGGACUUAUCCAC